RNAcentral lists this ribosomal RNA (410 nucleotides) under Anguilla malgumora. RNAcentral describes it as "partial 16S rRNA". It matches the Rfam family "Bacterial large subunit ribosomal RNA", at positions 1944 to 2488 of the family's 2925-position model. The record is from RNAcentral. Lineage: Eukaryota; Metazoa; Chordata; Actinopteri; Anguilliformes; Anguillidae.
GACCGUGCGAAGGUAGCGUAAUCAUUUGUCUUUUAAAUAGAGACCUGUAUGAAUGGCAUAACGAGGGUUUAACUGUCUCCUUCCCCUAGUCAAUGAAAUUGAUCUGCCCGUGCAGAAGCGGACAUAAAUACAUAAGACGAGAAGACCCUAUGGAGCUUUAGACAAAAGAUCAAACAUGUAAAGAAACCAAAAACCCAAAAGGAACACAAAGACCGUAAAACCAGACGUAAACUGAUCCAAAUGUCUUCGGUUGGGGCGACCAUGGGGGAAAGAAAAACCCCCACGAGGAACAGGGAAUACCCCUAAACUUAGAGAGACACCUCCAAGUAACAGAAAAUCUGACCAAAAAUGACCCAGGAUAUUAAUCCUGAUCAACGAACCAAGUUACCCUAGGGAUAACAGCGCAAUCC